ACAGGAUUCCUGGGUUCUUUUCCCAGCUUUGUUAUGUGACGUUGGGUCUGUCCCUUACUGCUGUGCCUCAGUUUCCCCUCCUGCGCUGCAUCUCUUUAGACUGUCAGCAUUUUGGGUCAGCGUCUUUCACUGUGUGUCUGGGCAGCGAUGGGGGCCAAAACAGAAAACCCUCCCCCCCCGUGGAACAGCUGUUCAGACUUUCCUGACAAGGCUGGAGAGGAGCCAGGGACUCAGAGUGGGGCUAGCCGGCCAGUCCCUGACCCAGGACCGGAUGGGAGCUGACGCUCCUGGAAGGGGAAAGGUCCAGUACCCAAUUCCCCACCCCUGAGCCAGGCCGAGAACCCAGGAGUCCUGGCUCCCAGUCCCCUGCUCUAACCACUAGACCCCACUUCCCUCCCAGAGCCGGGGAGAGAACCCAGGAAUCCUGGCUCGCAGCCCCCCUUGCUCUAACCAACAGCCCCCGCUCCCCUUCCAGAACCAGGGAGAGAACCCAGGAGUCCUACGCUGCCCCUCCCAUGCCCCCCCACAGGAAGUGGUAGGAAUUCCCAGCCCCACGUGACCCCUCUGGAAUGUGGUGACGUCACCGAGGGGUCCAUUAAAAAAGUUUUUUGGGAGUUGGGAGAAAAAAAAAAACUUUUCCGGGGAGUUUCGGAGCCGGCGGGAUCCGGCGCCUCCGGGACCUUCCCCCUGCCCCUCACUGGGCUAGGGAACCCCCCACCCCACGAGUGGGGUAGGACAGGAGGGGCUGGGACCCCCCCCUCAACUGGGAUUCCCGCAUCGGAGCCAGGUCCCAGAGAUGUCCGGUCCCACCUGGCUUCCCCCAAAGCAGCUGAGCUCCUCGGGGUCUCCCGGCGUCUCGGUCUCGGCUCUGGCACUCGGCAAACCCCAGAAGAAAUACGCCCCUGUUCCUGCUCCCCCCAGGCCGGCCCCCCAGGACCAGAACGGGGGGGGCAUGAGCGGGACAGGCUACCAGCCAGCGGGCCCUGGCAGCCUCCCCUCCCGUCCCCUGCCUUCCAGCUUCGGACCCCCAGCUGACUUGGAGCAUCAUUACCCAUCAGCCCCAGGGGCCAAGGAUGAACUGGGGGUGCCCUGGGGUGGCCCCCCCUCUGCUGGAUGUGGGUACCACAUGCAGGGAUCUGCCCUAGACCCAGGGCCCCACCGCCCCUCCAGCAUCGACGCCCAAAUAGACUCGCUCACCAGUAUGUUGGCUGAUAUGGAGAAUGCCGGCCCCCAACGCCGGGGGGAGAGGCAGAACUUCGACUCCGUCCCGUACCCGUCGGCCUCUGGCCCCCCGCAGCCCACCCCCCCCAAAAUGCACGGCCCCUACAAGCCGGGCUCCUUCGCCCCCAAGAACUCACCCUACGGUCCAUCGCCCCAACCCGCCACCUCAACGGCUUCCUCUGGGCCGUCUCCCCAAUAUGGGGCAGGCUACCCGCGGGCACCGCCCGGGCAUAAGCCCUACCCGCAGCCCAUGCCCGCGUCCUACACCACGUCGGCCGGGCCGGCCUUCAACGUCCAGGUCAAAGUUGCCCAGCCAGUGCUGGGUUACGGUCAACCGAGGCACCGGGCCGAACAGGCCUACGCACCCCCCUCGCCCCGAGUGGGCCGCGGGGCCCAGUACGCCUUGGAGCCGGGCGCCAGGGGGGAGGAGGGCUGGUAUCUGGAGCCGGGGGGUUACGGCAAGAGGCCGGGCAAGGGGGAGUGCUAUGGGGCCGGGGGGCUGGCCAAACCAGGGGAGGCGGCUGGGGGUCCGUACCAGGCUGCCGCCAGGACCCCAGGCAAGGAAGAGACGGCGGUGAUGGGGAAGGCGCCCCCUGGUGGUGGAGGAGGAUACCAGCACCAGACCCCCCCGAGCCGCCCGGAGGAGGAGCUGGACAGACUGACCAGGAAGCUGGUGCAUGACAUGAACCACCCGCCGGCGGGGGAGUACUUCGGGCGCUGCGCCCGCUGUGGGGAGAACGUGGUGGGGGACGGGACAGGCUGCGUGGCCAUGGACCAGGUCUUCCACGUGCCCUGCUUCACCUGCACCACCUGCCACGCCCGGCUGCGGGGCCAACCCUUCUACGCCAUGGAGCGCCGGGCCUACUGCGAGGCCUGCUACGUCGUGACGCUGGAGAAGUGCUCGAUGUGCUCCAAGCCCAUCCUGGACCGGAUCCUGCGGGCCAUGGGCAAGGCCUAUCACCCCCAGUGCUUCACCUGCGUGGUCUGCCACCAGUGCCUGGACGGGGUCCCCUUCACCGUGGACGCCACCAGCCAGGUCCACUGCAUCGAGGACUUCCACCGGAAGUUCGCCCCCCGCUGCUCCGUGUGUGGCAACGCCAUCAUGCCCGAGCCCGGGCAGGAGGAGACGGUCAGGAUCGUGGCCCUGGAUCGGAGCUUCCACAUUGGGUGCUACAAGUGUGAGAUUCCCCCGUUUAUAAGUCCCAGGAGCGCAUUCGCUCUUUUAGCCACAGCGUCGCCCUGGGACCUUGUGUUCAGCUGCUCCUCCACCAUGACGCCCAAAUCUCUUUCAGAGUCCCUACUUCCACCCUGUAAGUAUGGCCUGUGUUUGUUGUUGGUAUGUCUUAGUAUGAUUUUAAAACCUCCCCACCUCCUUACUGUCCUUAAUUGUGCUGGCCAUUCCUCUUUGUGGCCCUUUUGCUUCCCUUAUCAAUGUACUAAGAUUCCUAGUGUCUGAUUUCUAUUCGGUACGAUCAAUCUCCCCUUUUCUUCCAUUUGUUCCAUGUUCAUCUUUUUAUUGCCAUCACUUUCCCCUCAGAACCAGGUCUUUUUUGGGGGGUUUUUUUGUUCUUGUUUUUAACUUGGCCGGCUUUUUUCCCCUUGAGUGUGGCACCUUACAAAGCGUCCUUCCACAAUCCCCAAGCCACAGUGGCGUUUUCCUGGUCUGAUCGGUUUCCUCCCGGCUGAUUUGGCGCGGCAUGGCUUUCCGCUUGGGGAAACGGGCCUUUUUAAAAGCACUGUGGGCGGGUGUAUUAACGCCGGUUUGGAUUUAGUUCUCUUCUCAAGGCGUGAGGACUUGUCGCGAAGCGGCAGUUUGUUUUUUGGUCCUACGGUCGGCUCCUCUUCAGCCGUGCGGACGAGAUCUUCCGUGUCUUUCCCCGUAUCAAUGGUCAAGGCAAGAAUUUGUCACCCGGUGUCAGCUGUGAGGUGACUUGAGGGUGCACUCGGCACCUGCCCUCUGGCCGACUGGAGCCCACAGAGCCCGGGGUAGGGCCGGUCCCACCCGUCUUUCCCCUGAAGGUGGCCCGAGCCCAAAUCCUCCAUCCUGUGAGCCGAGCCGGCAGGUCCUCAGGUCCCAGCUGCCUGGCUCAGGGGGGCAGGGAAUGGGGCAAGUAUUGGAUAGUCUCUCUCGCUUGGUCGCCCCCCCCCCAGGGGUGUGUGUCUGGGUGCGGGGGGGGGUGGGUGUCUGGGUGCAGCCACUGGGACCUUGCGGGAAGUGGGAUGCCCCCCCUUGAACUGCCCCCCCCCAGCAAGCCCUGAUCACUCCCCCUUUCAGCUGCCCUCCCCAUCCCCUGCCUUCUUCCCAUCCUCCCCCCUGCCUGUCCGCCCCCUCCCCUGCACCCCCUAGCGGCUCAUUGGCUGGGCUGCCCCCCCACUCUCUUUGCGGGGGGUGCAUAUAAGAAGCAGGGCUUGGGGGGGGGGGGGCUGGUCGCACACAAGUUCUGUCUGCUUCCCAGCUUGGUGUCAGGCAGCUGGUUUUGGGGGCGAGCCUCGGCACCAUGGGGUCCCCGCUUUUCUUCCUCCUCUUUCUCCUCGCCAGCUCCGCGCUGCGCCCUGGGACCCCCGCGCCCGCCGGCGCCCCCCGGCUCCGUGCUCCCCACCUGGGGAGCCAGGCGCUGUCCCGGGCUGUGGUGCUAAAAGCCGUCUCCGGACUCCUGCGCGCUGAGCUGUCUCCCCAGGGUGCGGCCCCCCGCUGGCAUCACCCCCCCGCGACCCCCC
Molecule: RNA transcript, 3939 nt
Organism: Caretta caretta (loggerhead turtle)
Lineage: Eukaryota; Metazoa; Chordata; Testudines; Cheloniidae
Gene: TRIP6
Gene name: thyroid hormone receptor interactor 6
Source: RefSeq, a predicted model, not a curated record